AUAACUUUUUUCUGAACUACUAACAUGGCCUAGCAAUUUUUAGAAGCAACUCAAAGCUAGAUCUCUUAAGGGUGGCAAAGACAACAUUUGCGUCCCACUAUAUUUUACUGAAGAGGCUAAGUGACUGCCGAGAAGCACUUGCUACCACGGUGGUCACAAAGCAAUGGAAGGAUUGGAUGAAGGCCAAUAGCAGUGAUCAAUAUGCAAAGGCAGCAAUUGAAACUAUCAACAGUGAAGAGUUCUAGGCAGAGGUUGACAAUGUACUUGCUCUCACAAAGCUGUUGUUCUUAAUGGUGAAAUACAUUGAUGGAGAAGGUCCCAAGAUGGGUGAAGUAUAUGAAAAAAUGGAUAGUAUGUUGGGAGAGAUAACAGAUGUGAUGACCAAUGAAGAUUAUCCUCACAAAGAAGAUUUUCCUAAGGUUAAUGAGAUAGUUAUUAGUCAGUGGAGCAAAAUGAACAUCCCAGUCCAUUGCCUGGAUUUUGCACUAUGCCCAAAGUUAUAUGAUACUUGAGUAUAUGAAAACACCUGCUCCAGGAGGCAUUCCGAGAAAAGCUCCAAAUCAAGACAAGGAGGUCAUGAGAGGGGUGGUAGAAGCUUUUCGUAAAAUAGCAGAUGGUGAUGCUGAACGAAAGACCAUGCAAGAAGAAUUUACUGCAUUUCACAUGAAGAAAGGAAUGUAUGCACUACCCAUUGUUCAGACUGAUGCAACCACAAUGUCACCCAUUGAUUGGUGUUCUAACUAUGGCUCGGAGACUCCAAAUUUAGCAGAAGUUGCUUUAAAGGUUUCUAGAGAGCUACAAAGUAGGCCCUAAUAGCAAAUGGGACACAGAUCCAGAGGAUGCCUCCUUAGAGGAAUCAAGAUUGAAGCUCGAGCAAUUACGCUAGAAAGAUUUGGAGAAAGAUGUGGCCAAUGAUCCUCUAAUUGAGGAGCCCAACUCAUCAUCAAAGAAGGUCACAAAAAACAAGAAUAAUUGAUUGGAGUGUAGGUUGGCCAGAGUGGAUCAUCAGAGGAGUAGUGGGCUAGAGGAGUAAGGACUACAUCAACUCCUAGGAGAAUGAGCAUGGCUACCCACUGCCAUCGACUGUUAGUUGUUUUUCUUUCAUUUAAUAAAUAAAGUUAGUGGUUAGAGUGUGACAUUGUGAGUCAUUUAUAAACUAUUCGCAGAUUUCUUAUUUUUCUUUGUUGGAUUGGCUAAUGUAUGGGACCCUAAUGUAAUGAGUUAUUUAAAUUACGUACUUCA
Molecule: long non-coding RNA, 1242 nt
Organism: Sorghum bicolor (sorghum)
Lineage: Eukaryota; Viridiplantae; Streptophyta; Magnoliopsida; Poales; Poaceae
Exons: 3
Source: RefSeq, a predicted model, not a curated record